CUCCGCCUCCCGUCGCCCUCCGCCCGGCUGGGAGCCUGCGGUUGGUGGCCCACGCCGCUGUCGCCGCCUCGUGUUGCGGGUCAGUUUCUGGCUCUCCGCCUUCUUUGGUGCGCGGCCCCCCAGCGCGCACACGCAUAGUCUGGAGUGUCAGUGAUUGAAGGAAAAUCUCUUCAUGUGGCCAUGGAUGAUGCAUCUAGCCAUGAAACACAAGAAAGAGCAGGUAACUCUGGAAUCUCUUCCAACAUGACCAGGACAUCAACUCAGUCACAUUAAUGAAGAAACACUGCUGAAUAAGAAGAAUCAUACCCAAAUUUGAGUGUCAGCUUUAAUGGAAGACCACCAAAAAUACAACUCUGCUUUGAGUGUCACAUAUUAAAAUUUAUCUUGAGCUGGGUGUGGUGGUGCAUGCCUGUAAUUCUACCACUUGGAGGCUGAGGCAAGAGGAUGACUGGUAAAUUCGAGGCUGGCUUGGGCUAUGUAGUGAGU
Molecule: long non-coding RNA, 486 nt
Organism: Octodon degus (degu)
Lineage: Eukaryota; Metazoa; Chordata; Mammalia; Rodentia; Octodontidae
Exons: 3
Source: RefSeq, a predicted model, not a curated record